CCUACGGGUGGCAGCAGUGGGGAAUAUUGCACAAUGGGCGCAAGCCUGAUGCAGCGACGCCGCGUGAGCGAAGAAGUCUUUCGGUAUGUAAAGCUCUAUCAGCAGGGGAGAAAAUGCCGGUACCUGACUAAGAAGCCCCGGCUAAAUACGUGCAAGCAGCCGCGGCAAUACGUAGGGAGCAGGCGUUAUCCGGAGUUACUGGGUGUAAAGGGGGCGUAGACGGUUGUGAAAGUCUGAAGUGAAAGGCGGGGGCUCAACCCCUGGACUGCAUUGGAAACUGUACAGCUUGAGUGCAGGAGAGGUAAGCGGAAUUCAUAGUGUAGCGGUGAAAUGCGUAGAUAUUAGGAGGAACACCAGUGGCGAAGGCGGCUUACUGGACGGUAACUGACGUUGAGGCUCGAAAGCGUGGGGAGCAAACAGGAUUAGAUACCCCAGUAGUC
RNAcentral lists this ribosomal RNA (440 nucleotides) under uncultured bacterium. RNAcentral describes it as "partial 16S ribosomal RNA". It matches the Rfam family "Bacterial small subunit ribosomal RNA", at positions 338 to 795 of the family's 1533-position model. The record is from RNAcentral.